CUCGCUCCAUGGAGCACAGCACCUUGACAUAUGGAUCUCCACACUGUCUUAUUCUGGGCCAGGUCCCAGGCUGAUCUGGUGUUGAGUCCCAGGUUGUGUAGUUUAAAUUCUUUGUUGACCUGGUUCAGUGUUUAGAUUGUAUGUAUGCACUGUUAGGCUUCUGCUGUUAGAUACAUGGUGACCUUAUUCUAGGAAGCUGAUAACAACAAUCAACACCGUAUCUGUCCUGAAAGACUUUAUCACCUUUUGAAUUGGUCUUAUCAUCUCUAUAAUGAGGAGAAAUAUCAUCUACCAGGGCUAGAAGCAAUCUGUCCAUAGUAAAUGUGAUAGUCCUACUUUGCCCACUUUGAAUAGAUAAGUCAUGAAGGUAUUUCAAAAGGCCAACAACACCAUGAUAAUCAAUAAUACGAUCAUUAAUAAAAUGCUAAUUUGAGGUCCUAGAUCUACUUUGCCUACCAGCACGACAGUGAGUCCUACAGAAGGUGUGUUGGGCCUCUAAAUGACCAUCUCUGUUACGGCUGUCCUCGCUGACAGAAGGUGGGGACCAAAACGCAGAGUGGUUAGUGUUCAUUCUUUUAAUGAAAAUCAACAAAACACUUCAAAAUACAAAAAACAACCAACGUGACAAAACCGAAACCGUCCUGUGUGGCAACAAAACCUCCACAGGAACAAACACCCACAAAACACAAGUGAAACCCUGGCUGCCUAAGUAUGAUUCUCAAUCAGGGACAACGAUUGACAGCUGUCUCUGAUUGAGAAUCAUACCAGGCCAAACACAAAAUCCCAACAUAGAAAAUCAACCAUAGACAACCCACCCAACUCACGCCUUGACCAACUAAAAUAAAUACAAAACAAAGGAAAACAGGUCAGGAACGUGACAAUCUCUGCAAAUAGUAAUUAUACAGUCAAGAGUUUAGAUUACGGUCCUGUAAAAUUAGGAGACCAACAUUAUGUAAUACCUUAUUCUUGUGUAAUUAUAUUGCUUCCCACUAGUUUCGACUGUUACUUCUACUUUGACCCCAGACACCCCAGUGAGAUCAACUACCAGGUUGACCUCUCCUUUGACCCCCAGCACAGCAGUGAAUCCUACAUCAGGAGGUCAAAGCUCCACAGAAAGCGUUCUGGCAGUUUCGACUGUUACUUCUACUUUGACCCCUGACAUCACAGUGAGACCAACUAGUUUGACCUCUCAUUUGGCCCCUAGCACAGCAGUGAAUCCUACAUCAGGUGUG
Molecule: long non-coding RNA, 1232 nt
Organism: Salvelinus fontinalis (brook trout)
Lineage: Eukaryota; Metazoa; Chordata; Actinopteri; Salmoniformes; Salmonidae
Exons: 5
Source: RefSeq, a predicted model, not a curated record